GAUUGUUUUAACGGCCGCAGUAUCCUAGACUGUGCAAAGGUAGCAUAAUCAUUUGUCCUUUAAUUGGGGGCUGGAAUGAAGGGAAUCACGAGGUUUUAGCUGUCUCUUUUUUUAUUGUGGAAUUUGCUGUUUUUGUGAAGAAGCAAAAAUGUCAAAAAAAGACAAGAAGACCCUGUUAAGCUUGACUUAUAUGGUUUUAUUUUUUGUAGUUAUUUAAGUAUAGAAAUGUAAGAAUAUGGGUUUUGUUGGGGUGACAAAAAAAGAAAGAAAUCUUUUUUUUUUUUUGAGACUGAGUGUUAAAGAGAGGGCCAAAAGAUUUUUGAGAGAAAGAAUAAGUUACUACAGGGAUAACAGCGUAAUUUUUUCUGAGAGUUCUUAUUGAAGAAAAGGAUUGCGACCUCC
This 402-nucleotide ribosomal RNA is filed under the name Lineidae sp. Pili_CB196_SMCP0274. Its description in RNAcentral is "partial 16S ribosomal RNA". It matches the Rfam family "Bacterial large subunit ribosomal RNA", at positions 1917 to 2528 of the family's 2925-position model. The record is from RNAcentral. Lineage: Eukaryota; Metazoa; Nemertea; Pilidiophora; Heteronemertea; Lineidae.